AAUGACUCUGGGUCAAGAUGGAAAAUGACUCUGGGUCGAUGAAUAGCUCAGGGCUAUGAGCUCCGGGCUCUAUGACUGAUCGGCUAGAAGGAGAAUGCGAUACGCAAACUCCAGGUCAAACCACUCAUGGGCGACCAAAUGAUGAAAGCUCAGCUAAGAGCUGGAAAGACUCCGGGUCUAUAGGAAAUGAUAGCUCAGGGCUAGCGGGCUC
Molecule: long non-coding RNA, 211 nt
Filed under: Vitis vinifera (wine grape)
Lineage: Eukaryota; Viridiplantae; Streptophyta; Magnoliopsida; Vitales; Vitaceae
Description: long non-coding RNA (VVIN_LNC007881)
Source: RNAcentral